This 537-nucleotide ribosomal RNA is filed under the name Piscibacillus sp. RNAcentral describes it as "bacterial SSU rRNA". It matches the Rfam family "Bacterial small subunit ribosomal RNA", at positions 15 to 519 of the family's 1533-position model. The record is from RNAcentral. Lineage: Bacteria; Bacillati; Bacillota; Bacilli; Caryophanales; Bacillaceae.
GAUCCUGGCUCAGGACGAACGCUGGCGGCGUGCCUAAUACAUGCAAGUCGAGCGCGGGAAGCAAACUGAAUCCUUCGGGAGGACGUUUGUGGAACGAGCGGCGGACGGGUGAGUAACACGUGGGCAACCUGCCUGUAAGACUGGGAUAACUCCGGGAAACCGGGGCUAAUACCGGAUAACUCAUCGGAUCGCAUGAUCCGAGGUUGAAAGAUGGCUUCUUGCUAUCACUUACAGAUGGGCCCGCGGCGCAUUAGCUAGUUGGUGAGGUAACGGCUCACCAAGGCCACGAUGCGUAGCCGACCUGAGAGGGUGAUCGGCCACACUGGGACUGAGACACGGCCCAGACUCCUACGGGAGGCAGCAGUAGGGAAUCAUCCGCAAUGGACGAAAGUCUGACGGUGCAACGCCGCGUGAGUGAGGAAGGCCUUCGGGUCGUAAAACUCUGUUGUUAGGGAAGAACAAGUUCCGUUCGAAUAGGGCGGAGCCUUGACGGUACCUAACCAGAAAGCCACGGCUAACUACGUGCCAGCAGCCGCG